CUUGCUUAAGCUCUGCCAACAGGGCUUCCCUUUUUGCCGAUAGGUCAGAGAUCAUUUGUUUCAGCGUAUACCCGGAAGAUUUUAGGAUGCCGAUGCUCUUGUGUUUCUCAUCGGCAAGGUGCUUCACUUUCAUUAUCUCUUCUGAGAGCUAGGCAUGAGUGGCUCUAUCGGCAAGGCAUUGGGCAGCUUUUUGAUACUGAAGCUGGUGGCUCUCUAAGUGUGC
RNAcentral lists this long non-coding RNA (223 nucleotides) under Sorghum bicolor (sorghum). RNAcentral's name for it is "long non-coding RNA (SBIC_LNC002969)". Lineage: Eukaryota; Viridiplantae; Streptophyta; Magnoliopsida; Poales; Poaceae. The record is from RNAcentral.